UAGUCCACGCCGUAAACGAUGAUUACUCGUUGUUGGCAAUACAUCGUCAGCGACUGAGCGAAAGCAUUAAGUAAUCCACCUGGGGAGUACGAUCGCAAGAUUGAAACUCAAAGGAAUUGACGGGGGCCCGCACAAGCGGAGGAACAUGUGGUUUAAUUCGAUGAUACGCGAGGAACCUUACCUGGGCUUAAAUGCAAAACGACAGACCGGGAAACUGGUCUUUCUUCGGACGGCUUGCAAGGUGCUGCAUGGCUGUCGUCAGCUCGUGCCGUGAGGUGUCGGGCUAAGUCCCAUAACGAGCGCAACCCUCAUCAUUAGUUGCCAGCGGGUAAUGCCGGGGACUCUAAUGAAACUGCCGGUGUAAACCGAGAGGAAGGUGGGGAUGACGUCAAGUCUGUAUGGCCCUUACGCCUAGGGCUGCACACGUACUACAAUGCCCAGCACAAUGUGACCCGAGACCGUGAGGUGGAGCAAAUCCUAGAAACCGUGCCUCAGUUCGGAUUGC
RNAcentral lists this ribosomal RNA (505 nucleotides) under uncultured bacterium. RNAcentral describes it as "bacterial SSU rRNA". It matches the Rfam family "Bacterial small subunit ribosomal RNA", at positions 791 to 1301 of the family's 1533-position model. The record is from RNAcentral.